RNAcentral lists this ribosomal RNA (492 nucleotides) under uncultured bacterium. RNAcentral describes it as "partial 16S ribosomal RNA". It matches the Rfam family "Bacterial small subunit ribosomal RNA", at positions 30 to 507 of the family's 1533-position model. The record is from RNAcentral.
AGUGAACGCUGGCGGUAGGCCUAACACAUGCAAGUCGAACGGCAGCACAGUAAGAGCUUGCUCUUACGGGUGGCGAGUGGCGGACGGGUGAGGAAUACAUCGGAAUCUACUUUUUCGUGGGGGAUAACGUAGGGAAACUUACGCUAAUACCGCAUACGACCUACGGGUGAAAGCAGGGGAUCUUCGGACCUUGCGCGAUUGAAUGAGCCGAUGUCGGAUUAGCUAGUUGGCGGGGUAAAGGCCCACCAAGGCGACGAUCCGUAGCUGGGCUGAGAGGAUGAAGCGGCAAACUUGAAAUGAGGAACGGUCCAGACUCCUAAGGGGAGCAAGAGGGGGGAAUAUUGGACAAUGGGGGGAAAGCCUAUCCCAGCCAACCGGGGGGGGUGAAGAGGGCCUCCGGGUUGUAAAGCCUUUUUGUGGGGAAGAAAAGGCGGCAGGUUAAUCCCCCGCGGUCCGGCCGUAACCAAGGAAUAAGCACCGGCUAACUUCGUG